UACAGAGGGUGCGAGCGUUAAUCGGAAUUACUGGGCGUAAAGCGUGCGCAGACGGUCAUGUAAGUCGGGUGUGAAAGCCCCGGGCUCAACCUGGGAAUUGCAUUCGAGACUGUGUGGCUAGGGUGCGGAAGAGGGAAGCGGAAUUUCCGGUGUAGCGGUGAAAUGCGUAGAUAUCGAGAGGAACACCAGUGGCGAAGGCGAGUCCCUGGACACUUCCUGACACUGAGGCACGAAAGCUAGGGGGAGCAAACAGG
This 254-nucleotide ribosomal RNA is filed under the name uncultured bacterium. RNAcentral's name for it is "partial 16S ribosomal RNA". It matches the Rfam family "Bacterial small subunit ribosomal RNA", at positions 524 to 776 of the family's 1533-position model. The record is from RNAcentral.